RNAcentral lists this long non-coding RNA (15547 nucleotides) under Equus asinus (donkey). RNAcentral's name for it is "lncRNA (ENSEASG00005034659.1)". The record is from RNAcentral. Lineage: Eukaryota; Metazoa; Chordata; Mammalia; Perissodactyla; Equidae.
CUAGAGUGGCUCAAAAAUAUUGUUGAAUGAAUGAAUGAAUAUUAAAAUGCUUGAAAACUUGUUCUAUUUUUUCAAAAGCCUAAUACAGUAGGGAAAACUUUAUUCAAAGAUUUGCAAAGAUUCCAUUCUCUAUAUAGCUUAGGUGUGGACCCUGUUGGUUUUUCAAAGUGCUCUUAUUUCACUGGGCUCCCAAAUGGAGCCCAUCACAGCUCUAACUCCCUUCCACACCAAAACCCAGAUGGGACGGAGCAGAGGAAAAGCUUCCAUUUCGGCCUCAAUAUUCUAGGGUGGUCUCUAAUUUGGCCUUGAAAACCACAUGACAUGGGCCUCCUGGGCUAAAACUACAGGGAACAUUCUGCUAAGGGAGCCCUCAGCUCCGAAGGUUCUGCCCACCCAUGGGCAGAUGUGGUCCUGGAUGGACGGCAAUGGAAGGCAGCCCAGGACACAAGGAACAAGGAAGAAAAAUACACAGGGGUGUAUUUUUCUGCUUAAUGACAAAUGGCCGUGGGACUCAAGGGGUUCUUUGUAACGUGGAGCUUCUUGAACUUUUCCACAUCAGCAUCCUCAGAGCAGAUGAAAACGAGUGCUCAACCCUGGGGGUUUGAGGGUCUAUUCUGAAGCGGAUCAGGUCAGCCUGGUUUUCCUAAAUUUCCUCUUGCUGAGAGAACAAGAAGCUUGAGUCAGACAGGGGGCUUUAAGGGUCUCUGGUCUAGUCUCUUUUUGUUGUUGUUGCCUUGAAAAACAGUUUCAAGGGAAAUUUUCCACGAACAAAGAUGAUUGAUUCUUUCGUUCCUGUUUCAUCACCAAAUGUACAUGCUGUCACUUGUAAAUGAACUAAUUCUCCACAGAUUCAGUCUCCAUGAUCAACUCCACUCACUCGUAUCUCAAAUUGCAUUGUCAUCGUAUCAAUCUCGACAAGUGCGGUAACGGCAAUAAAAUAAAAUUUGCACUAACUCAGACAAAAAAAAAUCGACUGAAAAGGGAAAUUUGGGAGGUAGGUUUUGCCAUUAGGUCAAACUGAAUCUACAUUUUUAUCCUUUGUCCCAAUGUCUACUUAAUCCUUCUUGAAGAGUAUUAAUUUGACCAUAAUUCACUCCCUGAACACUGGGACUGCCUCAUCUCCUGACAAAGGCAGCAGCAUCUUUAUAAAAAUCAUCAUUAAAGUGACUCCCCAUUUCAGUGUGAAGCUAGGAAAAAGACUGUAGCCAAAGGACUUUUAUUUCUACUCUUUUCAAUGCUCCACUGAAUGCAAUGAGAAGCCACGAGAAACUUUCUGAUGUGAGGUGCUCCUGGUAAAAUGAGGCAGGGCCUGCCGGGGGGAGUUCAGGAUGAGAAAUAACCUUGACGUCGGCAACCUCUGUGGCCCUUUGCCUGUCACAGAAUUGACCUUGUCUUUCCAAAGUGUUUGAACAUGUUCUUCCUAAUUAUCACUAUGCUCCAUAAAAUACAAAUCUGGUUAAAAAUUCCUCACCAGUUUCAUCUGACACAUGGCCAGUUUACACGCUUCUAAGUAAGAUCCUGUAGUAAUGUGUCUGAGCCUGGACCCUGGAGCUGACUGCUGGCCUUGGAACCCCACCCACCUCUACCAAUCUCUGGCUGUGUGACUUUAUCUUCCAAGUGCCUCAGUUUCCUUAUCUGUAAAAUGGGGCUAACAAUUACGAGGAUUUGAAUGAGUUAAUGUGCAUGAAGUGCUAAUGCCUGGCAGGCAGGAAGUGCUAUCAGUGUUACUCUAGCUGUCACUGCAUCUCACUGCACGUAAGAUGCCCUCAGUUGUAGGAAGCACCGGUGUUUGAUGCACCACUCAGAAAAAAAUGGUGCCCAUUCGACUAUGAUUCAAUGCUUUCUUCUCUCUUAACAUUUUUAUUUUAGACUUAUCGAAAGUACUUAGCCACUUAUUUAGACAGAUCAUGUCACCCUUGGGCACAUCUAAAGAGGAAAAUAUAAGUGAAAAAAAUUGGUUAAGCUAUUCUUAAAAUUUCUUCACAGAGUCCAAAUCUUCUUAGUGAUUUUCAACUCAGUGUUGUCAGUGUUCAUAUUUUUCAACACAAAGUCACCCCUAGGCCAUCAACAGCAUUGACGAGGAAGCAUUUCUUUCAAGGGUGCUGCGCUGCGAUUCUGACAGAAGGUGUCAGGCGAUGACAACCCUGUCAUGACCUUGUGUCAAUGACAAUAAGACACUGAGCAUAAGACAUCCGAAUUACACAGCUGCUAAGAAUGUGUGUGUCUGCGGGAGGGGCUGCAUCUUGGACUCAAUGAAAUACGUUAGUACUGUUACACUCUCAUUAUAAAUAGAACAGACAAAGCUCACUAGAUGGUUGAACCAUCCGAGUCCAUGCCUUCGUCUCGUUGUAAAGAACGACGAACCUCGAUCGGGAUCUCAACCAGUUGUCCACAGGCAUCUUUUAAGCAUAUCAAUUUGUCAUUCCACAAGGACACGGUGUUCAGCGUGGCUGUUUAAUUCUGACCCAAACCAGGUGCAUAUAAGUCGUUACCAAAGUUUCUCCCGGCAUGCGCAGGUCACCAUCCAAGGAGUUCUGAAAGGAAAGGUCAAGCCAUCUUUUAUUCGUGUGUCUGAUUUCACAUGGGAAGGAGAAAGAAGCUAGCACCGUGUUGAUUCUCUCAGACCGUGUCUUCUCGGCGUCCCCUCUGGGUUUUGCCCACAAUUCCAGGGGCUCACCCCUACGUGUGGUUGAACAGUGGUUCUCUCUCAAAUCUGCCUGCAGUACAACCACCUGCAGAGCUCGGUAAGAACGCAGAUACAAGGAGCCCACUGGGGAACUGGACGAAAGCAGACUCUGUAAGUGUGACCCAAGAAUAUGCAUUUACAAGGACUGGCCCCUCCCCAUGAUUCUGAAGCAACCAAAGCUUAAGGGUCACAGCUCAAGAGAAAAAGACGGUAGGAAAAAGUGGGCAAAAGGUGGGACAAGGGCCACAGGGGGAGGGGAGCAUGAGGAAAGGUCGUUUCUACAGAACAUGUUUUCAAAGACUGGUUCCGCUUUCCAAAAAGUGGAACAGCUUUUUAAAGGUAGUAUGUUGACUUUGUAGUGUUGUGAAAAUGGAAUGAAAGAUGCAGAGGACGCCGUGGAGAGGGCUGGGGUUAGCAUGCUUUCUGCCUCCAUCGGAGGCCCAAUUCCAGCUGCGUGAGACAAUGGGGAAACACGCGGGCCCACCGAGGAGGAAGUCAGAGGUGUGGGCCAGCAGCUCGCUGAGCUCACGUCCCUGUCCAUCCCUCCACCCUGCCACUCACACUGCGAGAUCAGAGGUUGACUGCCAGGAAAAUGGGGGCAAUGUGCUCACCAAGCAGACCCUGGAUGACCGCCACCAACCGGUUCACCUGCUCGGAAAUGAAAUAAAAUACGGAGUCCGCUGUAGAAUGGUUUAAGGGGUAUUUUUAACUACUCAUAAUCCCAGAAGUCUUACAAAGUAAUUAUUUUCAUUUAUUAAUGAUGGUCUUCUAAUUUUAAUUCUUAUAAAUCCACAUAAUGUUUACACGGUUAUAAUCACAGCAUAUAUAUGUGUGUGUGUAUAGUUUUUUGUACAAUUUUUUUUUCUUAAUAUUAUUCUGUAAGCCUUUUUUCAUGUUUUAUAGCUGCCGUAUAAUUUUAACUAACAGCUUGGCAUUACUUUUUAUUGACACACCUCAGCUCACUUAACCAGACUCCACGAUUUCUUCCAGUUGUUCCCUAUUACGGGCAAGGCUGUGAUGACCACCUUUGCAUAUGGCAUUUUUACACACCUACUGCUUAGACUGAUUUUCGUUUUCUCUCCUGUCCUGUGGAAGACAGAACCCUUCUUGGAGCCUCCGCAAACCACUCCUCAGCUUCUUUUGGUCACAUGUUCAUUCCUGAACCAAUCACAGGGAGGGGGCGGGGAGUGUCCUCACACCAACCAGUCCUACCCCAGAGCUGCCUACAGCGGGGCCUGAGCUGUGGCUGGCGCACAGUUACUGACUACUUGGUGAAUGAAUGAAUGAUUUAUUAAACAAGACAGCCCAGCAUCAGUAAGCAAGCACCCGAGAUCAACCUUGAAUCUUGGCAUUCUCAAAUGUCACCUUGGUUCUUGACACACCCAUUGCUUUCACUGACUAAAAAUAUGUAUUGGGGAUUGACAGCAUGGCAGAGAAACCCAACUCUUUGGGAAAUUAUUGAACUAUAUCAAUUAUACGGAAAUUUAUUCCUAAUGUCUCACUAUGGGCUAUCUUCCCCACUUCCCAUCUUCUCUUUUUUGCCCUAGAAAGAAGUUUCAUCAGUCACAAAAAUACCAAGGAAGAGGAGGAGGAGGAGACAACCUUGAUGGUCCCAGAGGAGGACAACCAUGACAGUGUGUAAGACUUUUUAAAUUAAUUUCUACUGCCUUCAUUAGUUAAAGUUGCCAACUUUAACUAAUGAACUAAUGUGAUUGCUAUUAUUAGUAUUUAUCUUCAUUAAACUUGAUCGGAUUAAUUCUCUCCUUUGCACACUGAAAGUUACUGGGAACAUUUCUUCCUUCUCCUGCUCCUCCUCCUAAUAAUGAUGAUGAUGAUGAUGAUGAUGACGAUGAUGAUAGCAAACACAGAUUGAGACUUACCGUGUGCAGGCUCUGUUUUAAGGCCUUUAUAUGUGUCAACUCAUUUAAUCCCCAACAUCCUAUGAAAUAGGAACUAUCUCCGGAUUUUACAGGUGAGGAAACUAAAACACUGAGAGCCUCCCUGAUCUGGGGCACUGCCAAGACCUUGAAGCAGAGGGAUCUGCCCACCCGCUAGCUGGGCAUGUUGUAAAUAUGAGUCCGCUACCUAUAACUUGGAUUUCCUCUGGACCAUAAAGAUUGGGCAAUUCCAUUAACUCAUCAUAUUCGUUAGGAAAGGACAGGACAGGCUACAGUGACAAGCAGUCCCCAAAUCCUAGUGGCUGAGUACAACAUAAGUUUGUUUCUUACUCAUAUAAGCAGGUGGCUGCAGAUAAUAAUCCAGCGCGGCCAUUCUCCGUGCAGUGACUCACAAGCCAGGCUGCUUCAAUCCAUCUCAAGAAAGGGCCUCCACAUUCAUCGUGGAGGGAAGAGAGAGACAGAAGCAGCCACGAGGGCCUUCCACUCGCUCAGCCUGGGAGCAACAUACUUCCUUUCUGCUCGCUUUUCACUGGCCAGGACUAGUCACCAGUCAUGCACUUCUGUCCACAGGAGGAGAGAAUUGGGUAUUGAUGAGCACUGGUAAUGUCCACCAUACCCAUUCCUUCCUUCCUUCCUUCCUUCAUUCCUUCAUUCAGCAAGUACCUUCUAGGCCAAAGCAAUGUGCUAGACACCGGGAAUAUAAAGAUAAAAGAUAGGACAUUGAGCCCUUCUUUUUUUUUUUUCACUCUGUUUUUCCCACUGUGAUAGGCUGAAUAAUGGCCCACCAAAGAUGUCCGUGUCCUAAUCUCUGAAACCUCUGGAUAUGUUACCUUACAUGGUUCAAAGAGAAUUUACAGAUGUUAUUAAGGUAAGGAACUUGAGAUGGGAAAAUUAUCCUGGAUCUUCUGAAUGGGUCCAAGGUAAAAAGGAUCCUUAAAAGAGGGAGGCAAGAGGAUCCGAGUCAGUAGUAGGAGAUGUGGCGAUGGAAGCAAGAGGUCACAGCGAUGCAAGAAAGGGGUCAUGAGUCAAGAAAUGUGGGUGGCCUCUGGAAGCUGGGUAAGGCAAGGAAACAGAUUCUCCGCUGAAGUCUCCUGAAAGAAUGUGGCUCCACCAACACCUUGAGUACAGACUUCCGGCCUCGCGAACUGUAAGAGAAUCAUUUGUGCUGCCUUAAGCCACUAAGUUUGUGAUCACUUAUUUCAGCAGCAGGAAAUGAACAGAUCUGCUGCUGGGGCUGGGAUGGGAAAGGCACAAAAGUCAGUCACAGGGACGAUGAUCAAAAGAACUGCUAAUGUCCUUCGAGUGCUUACUCUGUGCUGAGUAUCUAUCUAGAUUCAAGCUCCCCAAAACAUGAGAGUCAUUAUUAUCCCCAGGUGACAGAUGGGAACCUGGUUAAGUAACUUUCCCAUGGUGGCACAGCCUGAGUGGUUCAGUCAGGAUUGGGACUUAGUCCAGAAUCUAGGAAAGACGCUGCACAAGACUUGCCCAAGGCACCCUGUUAGUGGCAAAGGCAGGACCAACCUUGGGCCCCUCAAUGGACUCCAGAGGACUCUUUCCUCAAAGUAUAUUUACUGAGGGGAGGGCUCACUGUGCCACUGCGGGGGCUGGCUCUGGGGGGCUGUGGUGUUGAGGAGCCAGGCCUGGAAGAGGAGGGGGGAGAUCUUCAGGAUUCUGCUCCAGGCCUGGCUGGGGGUGUCACUGCUCCCUAACUACAUGGAGGCUCCAGGUGGCCCCUCUUGUCUCUGCGUGGGUGUUCUUGUCUCCGUGUGGACAUUGUUGUCCCAGUGUGGAUGCUCUUGUCUCUGUGUGGAUGCUCUUGCCUCCGUGUGGACGCUCUUGUCUCCGUGUGGACUCUUGUCUCAGUGUGGACGUUCUUAUCUCCGUGUGGACACUCUUGUCUCAGUGUGGACGCUCUUCUCUCAGUGUGGACGCUCGUGUCUCCGUGUGGACGUUCUUGUCUCCGUGUGGACGCUCUUCUCUCAGUGUGGACGCUCGUGUCUCUGUGUGGACGUUCUUGUCUCCGUGUGGAUGCUCGUGUCUCCGUGUGGACGUUCUUGUCUCCGUGUGGACGCUCUUAUCUCCGUGUGGACGCUCGUGUCUCCAUGUGGACACUCUUGUCUCCAUGUGGACACUCUUGUCUCCGUGUGGACGUUCUUGUCUCCAUGUGGACGCUCUUCUCUCAGUGUGGACACUCUUGUCUCCAUGUGGACACUCUUGUCUCCAUGUGGACGCUCUUCUCUCAGUGUGGACACUCUUGUCUCCAUGUGGACACUCUUGUCUCCAUGUGGACGCUCUUCUCUCAGUGUGGACGCUCUUCUCUCAGUGUGGACACUCUUGUCUCCAUGUGGACACUCUUGUCUCCGUGUGGACGUUCUUGUCUCCGUGUGGACGUUCUUGUCUCCAUGUGGACGCUCUUCUCUCAGUGUGGACGCUCUUCUCUCAGUGUGGACACUCUUGUCUCCAUGUGGACACUCUUGUCUCCGUGUGGACGUUCUUGUCUCCGUGUGGAUGCUCUUCUCUCAGUGUGGACGCUCUUCUCUCAGUGUGGACACUCUUGUCUCCAUGUGGACACUCUUGUCUCCGUGUGGACGUUCUUGUCUCCGUGUGGAUGCUCUUCUCUCAGUGUGGACGCUCUUGUCUCCAUGUGGACGUUCUUGUCUCCAUGUGGACGCUCUUGUCUCCGUGUGGAUGCUCGUGUCUCCGUGUGGACGCUCUUGUCUCUGUGUGGACGCUCUUCUCUCAGUGUGGACGCUCUUGUCUCAGCAGCUGCUUUUUGGUGCUUCUGACAUCUCCCAGGAGCCUCCAGUCAGCACCACCCUCUCGAGCCGUAGCAUAUUUGCAGGGAAGUCUGAGAAAGAGUUACAAACUCCACCAGCCCAGAGCUCCUGGGGUCCUUGCAGGCUCUAGCCUCUCGAGUUUGUCUCACUGAAAGAACAGAAUCUGCCCCACGGACCGGUCCUGCUGAGCUGAACUUCUCCAAUCCACCCGCGGCCCUGCAAGCAACUGUGUGUUCUGAGCGCCACCUAGUGGUGCUGGGGCCCCCGGAGUGUCUUCUCAAACCUGGUCUGGAGGAAGGGGCUCCUACCUCCCCUCUUCUGAGGCCUCUCCAGGGAGGCUCAGGUGACUUGGAGGGUCUCCAGCCCUCUCAAGUUCCAGGACACUUUAGAGAAGCCCAAAGCCAGCUGGUUCCCUGAAACUCUGCGAGUUUCCAUGGGGACUGCCCCAUCCUGGGCUCUGCCUGAGGGUCCAAGAUGCUGGUUCUGGGUGGGGAAAAACGCUUUUUGUCAUUUAUCAGCUCUAUAACCUGAAUGAGGGCAGGGAAGGUGUGUGGAGGAAGCAGCAUCUCAUUGCAAUGUGAGAUGAACUAAUAAAGGAAAGCGAAUUUUAAAAAGCUGUUGAGAACAGACAGUAUUUGACAACUUAGAUAAAAUGGGCCAGUUCCUCGAAAAACACUCACUCAAUAUGAACUAGAUAAUCUAAAUAUGCCUACAACUGUUAAGGAAAUUGAAUCUGUAAUUUAAAAACUUCCCUAAAAAGAAAUCUCCAGAUACAGAUGGUUUCACUGGAGAAUUUUACCAAGUUUUUAAAGAAGAAUUAAUACUGUCUCUAUAUAUUCUUUAUCAGAAAAUACAGGAAGAGGGAACACUUCCCGAUUCACUUUAUGAAGCUAGUAUUACCCUGAUAUCAAAACCAGACAAAGACAGUACAAAAAAGAAAACUACAGAUCAAUAUUCCUCAUGAAUAUAGACACAAAAAUCCUUAAUGAAAUAUUGACAAGUAGAACUCAGCAAUAGAUAAAAAGAAUUGUACUCCACGACCAAAUGGAAUUUAUCCCAAGGAUGCAAGGCUGAUUCCAUAUUCAAAAAUCUAUCAGUGGAAUCCACCAUAUUAACAGGCUAAAGAAGAAAAAUCACAUGAGCAUAUAAAUUGAUGCAGAAAAGGCAUUUGACAAUAUUCAACGCUCAUUCAUGACAAAAACUCUCAGAAAAUUGAGACUAGAGGAACACUUUCUUACCUUAAUAAAGAACAUUUGCAAAGAAACACCCACAGCCAACAUACUUAAUGGUGAAGAACUGAACGCUUUCCCCUUAAGAUUGGGAACAAGGCAAAGAGGUCUUCUCUGACCACUCUUAUUCAACGUAGUGCUGUCAGUUAUACCCAGUGAAGUACGGGAAGAAAAGUCAUACAGACCAGAAAGGAAGAUGUGUUUGCAGAUGACAUGAUUUUCCACGUAGAAAAUCGCCAAGGAAUCUACAAAAAUAUCCUCAAACUACUAAGUGGGUUUAGCAAAGUCACAAGAUACAAGAUAAAUAUACAAAAAUCAUUGUAUCUCUAUAUACUAACAAUGAACACAUGAACAUCAAAAUUUUAAAAACAAUACCAUUUACAAUUGCUCACAAAAAGAUGAAAUACUUAGGUGUAAAUCCAACAAAAUGUGUACAGAACUUGUAUGCUGAAAAUUAUAACAUAUUUAUGAAAGAAAUCAAAAAGAGAUCUAAAUACAUGAAGAGAUAUACCACGUUCAUGGAUUGGCAGACUCAAUAUAGUAAAGAUGUUGAUUCUCCCCAAACUGAUGUACAAGUUUAACCCAAUUCCUAUCGAACUCCCAGCAAGGUUUUUGUCGAUGCAGACAAGAUUAUUCUAAGCUUUACAUGAGAAAGCAAAGGAACUGAAAUAGCUAAAACAAUUUUGAAAGAGAAGAAUAGAGUGGGAGGAAUCGGUCUACUCAAUUUCAAGACUUAUUAUAAAGCCAAAGUAAUCAAGAGCAUGUGGUAUUGGUGGAGGAAUAGACACAGAAAUCAAUGGAACAGAAUAGAGGACCCAGAAACGGAUCCAUACAAAUAUGCUCCACAGAUUUUUGGGAGGUGCAAAAGUAAUGCGAUGGAGGAAAGACAACCUUUUCAAUACAUAGUGCUGGUGCAAGUAGACAUCCACAGCCGAAAAAGAAACCUAAAACAAAACCAAAAAACCCAGAACCUAAGCCACACACUUUAUACAAAAAUUAACUCUAAAUGGGUCAUGGACUUAAAGGCAAACAUAAAACUAUAAAACUUUUAGGAAAAGACCUAGGAGGAAAUCUUUGGCGUCUAGGUUUAGGCUGUUUGAAUUUAAUUUUUAAAUACAAAACAUAUGAUAAGCUAUUUGGAAGAAAGUAGGAAGCAUUUUCUUUUCUUCACCUUGUCAUUUGCUGCCCAUUCCUACAGAGAUGAUGAAAUCUUGCGGGAAACUUUUUUAAACUACCCAAGCCUUUCCAGAGAUAGCAUUCACUUGGUCCAGGGUCAGACCUGGGCAUCUGUAUUUUGGAGAGCUCCCAGGUGAUUCUAAUGUGCAGCCGCAUUGAGAAGGACUUUGUGACAUGAAGAGCUCCCACAAAGCACCUCGGUACAGCGCUUCUCCAAGGGUGGUCCCACCCAACCCACAGCAUCAACCUUGCCUGGGAGCUGGGAGAAAUGCAUAUUCUCAGGCCCCACCCCAGACCUGCUGAAUGAGAAACAGCCAUCUGUGAAUUAACAAGCCCUCCCUCCAGGUGAUUCUGAUGCCCACUCACGGCUGAGAACCUCUGCCUCAGUAGACACAAUCUGACAACAGACAGGAGCAGCUGGUUCACGACAAAGAAAUAUAUCUGGUCAAAAAGCGCCAAGAGCAUUGCUCAAGCUUCCUGGUGAUCAAAAGAAAAGCAACAUGAAAACCACAGGGAAAUCCCAUUUGAAACCUGUCAAAUGAGCAAAUUUGGAAAUAAAUCAAACGAAAGAUAAUACUUAACGCUCUCUGUUCACCCAACUAGGGUAACCAACCAUCCCAGUUUCCCUGGGUCUGAAGGGGUUCCCGGAAUUGGCGGCUUUCUAUGCUAAAGCCAGGACGAGUUGGUCACCCUACACAAGACUCAUCAGAUGGGUGUAAUUAUUGCUUACUCUCUGUUUUCCAUCUUAGACAGGGAUCUGUAGGGGCAGGACCCGGUGUGUCUUGGAUUAUGUGUGUCCUGUGUUACAGCCUGGUCCACAGCCUUGUACAUAACAGAUGUUCCAUAAAUAUUUGGAGAUGGAAGCAACAGAGGGAAAGAGGGAAGGACGGAAGGUAGAGAGGAAGGAAGAUAGACAACUGUUGGGCAGUCAGUCACUCCCUCAGCCCUUCUACACUACCAGACACGUACCACGAUUAUAGUGCUGACUGCAUCACAUGAUAGCUGCUUAUUUAUAGGUCUUUCUCCCUCUAUAAGCCAUGAGCUCCUCCUGUGCAUGGACUAUGUCCUACCCACCAUCAUGCAAUCAAAAGUGUCAGAGCCUGGAUGUUAGGAGAAUGGGUGCUGAGCUCAGUCUUCCUGGCUUCAAAUCCUAACUCUAAGGAUUAUCAGCUGUGUGACCUUGGACAAGCUAUUUCACCUUUCUCUACCUCAGCAUCCUCAUCCGAGAAAUAGGUAUGAAAAGAAUAACACGGGACCCACCUCAUGGGGUUGUUGUGAGAAUUUUAUACCCCUUAAUGCAUGUAAACCAUUUAGAAUGGUGCCUGGAAUAUACAGUGCUCCUUACUGUUAGCUAUAAUUAUUAUUAUUAUGGGAAGGGAACCCACAAACACAUCUGAGGGGUUGAAGUAAUCUCGUGGUGACCAGGAAGCUCAGGUGGCUGUAUUUUCUGGAUGGUGGGUAGACAGCAGUCUCUCUACCUCCAAAAGGUCAGGGGGAGCUUUUCAGGGUUGGGAAGAUGAUGUACGAAGGCUGCGGGCUGUCGCUGGGCUUCCCUUGUCCAUGUCCCCCUGAAGUCAUAUCUCCAUGAAGACCAGAUGCUCCACCGCCCUGGGGUCCUCAGAACUCCCGGCCUACAACUGGACUUCACACGCACUGUGAGUUGAGGGGUAAGGGGCUCUCACUGGAAAGUCAGGUCCAGGUGAGCAGACCCUUCGCUUCAUCACUGAAUCCCCAGGACCUAGUUUCUGGCACAGAGUAGUUGUUCUGGAGCUACUUGGUAAAUGACUAAUUUUAAUAAGUGUAAAUACUGUUCUUAAUCCUAGUUGUCUAUCAGUGCCCAGACCCGCCUCACCUCUGGUCCUGCCCUUGACCCUGCACCCUCUAGCUGGGUCCUUCCUGCUGGGUCAUGAGCCAGGAAGCAGAAUGGCUAUAAACAAGUUACUCCACUGGUAUUUACCCAAAGGAGUUUAAAACCUGUGCCCAUGCGAAAACCUGCGCACGGGUGUUUAUAGCAGCUUUCUUCAUAAUUGUCAAGCUACCAAGGUGUCCUUCAGCGGGCGAAUGGAUAAAUAAACUGUGGUACAUCCAGACAAUGGAAUAUUAUUCAGCAUGAAGAAAAAAUGAGCUAUCAAGCCAUGAAAAGACAUGGAGGAACCUUAAAUACUUAUUAUUAAGUAAAAGAAGCCCAUGUGUAAAGGCUAUGUAGCAUAUGAGUUCAACUAUGUGACAUUCUGGAAAAGGCAGAACUAUGGAGACAAACAGGGGACAGCCCGGUGGUGUAGUGGUUGAGCUCACACCCUCCAUUUCAGCUGCCCGGGGUUCACAGUUUCAGACCCUCGGUGCAGACCUAGCACUACUCCUCAAGCCAUGUUGUGGUGGCAUCCCACAUAAAAUAGAGGAAGGCUGGCACAGAUGUUAGCUCAGCAACAGUCGUCCUCAAGCAAAAAGAGGAAGAUUAGCAACAGACGUUAGCUCAGGGCCAAUCUUCCUCACCAAAAAAAAAAAAAAAAAAAAAAAAAAACUAUGGAGACAGGAAAAGAUCAGUGGUUGUCAGGGGUGGGGGGAUGGAGGGAUUAGCGGGGCACAGGGCAUCUUCAGGGGAGGGAAAUUAUUCUGAAAAAUGAAAUGGCUCCAUCUGUGAGCCCCCAGGACUCUGCCUUUCCUCCUGGCCCCUCAACUUGAGAGUCAGCAAAGGGAAAGAGAACACGCUGGAUUAAAUAGGCAGGAGCCUAAAUCGUCUUCUUCAUCACCAUCCUUUAUUAGGAACCCAACAUGAGAGCCUGUUUGUCCUGGCUCAUCGCCGGCAUUCACAAGUGUUCUUUGCUCCAAGGCGCUAAGCAAGCCUUGUUGUUGUCUCUGCAGUGGAGGUGACCAUGCAGUUGGGUGUAAUGAGGUCAUCCAUCCAGAACUGAGUGUUUGAGAAACCAAUAAAGGCUGAACUAGCACCAGACUUCCCCCUGCCCCCAGAACGAAUCAUGCCUCCUGUGGGUCCCCACGGGGACGUGCCACCAAUGCCACUUUAUCAAGCUGACCUCUUCCUCUCUUUCCUUUUCCUAGACCAUGCCAGGGACCCCAUUCAUUCCUCAUUUUUAGCUAGCCCCCACUACGAGGUGGCAGGUCCUAUUGUAACCCUGGAAGACAGAGAUGAAUAAGACAUAGCCACAGCCCCUGGGGCGUGUACAGUUCAGGAGCCUCCUGUCCUGCUCAUUCCAGCUGCUUUGGCAUUUAGCACAGCACCUGGCAAAUGAAAGACGUGUUUGUUGAAGGCAUGGAUGAGAAUCCCUAAGUGACCCCACAUCAGAGUGCAGAACGUACCGUAACUAAAAUUCAUUCUGGCGCUUCGGCCACCUAGGUCUGGGCCCCCACACCUGGGGAGGGGCAGUCAUGAGGACAGGAAGGGUCCUAGUCACAUAAGGACAGAACGUGUCCUUUGUCACUGCAGAUCAAUAGCCAGCGCAGCCAGCUCAGCGUCCUGACCACCCAGGGCUGCCCUUUGGGUGAGAGCGGGAUGCAAACAGAACUGCUCUUUCAGGAGUGGAAAUGGAUUGGCUGUGUUCUUUCUUAGCCUUUUAUUUAUUUAUUUUUUAACGAAAAUGGGACCAUAUAGUAUAUACUAUUUUAUAACUUUGGGGUUUUUCCCCCUACUUAACAGCAUAAAAUGGGCCUGUGACCUGUGACCAUGAGCGGGCCAUUUUAUACAGGUCCACAGCCUUAGCUGAAGCCCUCAGGACCAGCCGUAUUUCAGAAUUCAGAAGUUUCCGGGCAUUAGAGAAGCACUGCGCGUACGUUCUGUGCACCGUGUCACAUCUCCAGCAGGUUCUGGGACAGACUCACAAGCCACCUCGUUAUUAAUAUUUCCUCAGUGAAAUAUGCGAACAUUGACCAUAAGUGAGCUAAAUCAAGACCACAAAGGGCCUGCGAGCAGCUCAGGGCAAGUUCCGCCACUAUAUGAGUUUGGGAGCUAGAAGUAUGUUUAAAAAAAAACACAACUUUCAGUGUUCAGAAUUCUUGUAAUUUGGAUUUAUGGAGAAGGGAACAUGGUAUAGCCAUUAUACAGUCGUUCUGCUGCCUUGUGAGGGAAACUGGCUUAACAGGACAGAAGGAGGUGGGGCAGGAUAAGGAUUAAGUCAUUAGCUUGGGAAGAAAAUCCAUCUGUAUUUGGAUCCUGGCUUCACCAACUACAAGCUGGGUGCCCCUGGGCCAGUAGCUUGCCCUUUCUGGGCCUCAUCUCUGAAGAGUACACAUACCCCUGAGCUGUGGAGAUUACAAAAGAUGAAGCAUAUAGAGCGUGUAGCAUACACCUGACUAGUGCUGAACAGAGGAGAACUGUUAUUGAACUUGCCCUGGUAAAUGGUAGAGCUGGGAAAUGAAAGCCCUUGCUGUUCCUGUAAUGCCAGCGGACCCAGGUGAACACUUAGGCCUUUCUACUCGUCAGCCCCCACAUCUGACCCUCAGGAUUCUGCUCUGACUCACCUAAGUGGAGGCCCAGAAAUGUGGGUGGAAGGAAGGGCCCCUCAGGAGCUGUGGUGGGAUCUCUCUCGUGCCCCCAAAUGGCUUCUGCCUGUCAUGGUGGCACUGGGGCACCCUGUCUCGCUGGCGCCUCCGAAGAGACCUAUUUCGGUGUCCCAGGGUGUGGCUGUUGUCAGUGAAGGCCUGGGGAGUUCGAAACUGCAGCUCCAGGAGCAAGUCAACCCGACCCCCGGGCAGGACACCGGCAGGUCCCACAAGGAGUCACACUGUCUGGUUAAGGACAUGGCCGUCCAGCGGAAAGAGGUGUGAGAAUGGGCAAAGCUUUGCUUUCCGUGAGUGCUGGGGUCCUCGGUCAGACCACAGGUAGCUGCCGGGCUGGGCGCCGGGAGGAGGGCAGCUGGAGCGGCCAGGAGCCAGAGGUCUGGGCUUGGCCUUGGGGACGGAGCAGAGGGGAGGGGUGGGGGCCGAGGCAAGGCUUCUGUCCACACGUUCCAACCACACACACACACCCGGGGGCACAAAACUGCACCCAUGGGUUGUUUACUAAAAGUGAAAAAAAAAAGGAACAGGAGGAAGAACAGACCUGGAAAUAAAAGGCUGAAAAGCUCUCUGUCAAAUGCCCGCUGUGGACAGAGUUGCACCAGCACAGAUUAUAGCACCUCAGUGGCCGGAGGCUCCGUGCCCCGAGGACGCUGAGACGGCUCGCGUUUGCCAAGAAUAACUUGGUCAGGGCUGGACUGCUGGGCACCUGGAGGCGGGGAGACGGAAAUUUUCAGAAGCCCCCUCUCCAUGAGGCCUUUCACAGCUCAGCAACCAGACCCUGGAAAACAGCAAACAGCUGGCUCGUCUGUUUAGAAAGUACUGCAGGGCUUUCUUUAAAAAGAGUUGUGAAAUAUUCUAGAAUCCACUGUAAAACAUUAUCAAAAGUCUUUCCUAAUUGCUCAUAAGCCCACUAAUUUUGUACAAUAAUAACUUUAUUUCUAAAUGCGCCUUCCAAUCUUAAACUAUAUAGACUUACCUGUUUAUGUUGUUUUAAUGACAGCGUUAUUAAAUUUCAUCUGUAUCCUUUUCCUCUAUACUCCAUAAACGCUUUUUCAUGAUUUUUUAGUCCUCAUGUUAAUUCUAAUAGUAGCAUCCAUUUCAUUGUUGUCAAUGCCACAGAUUUCUUAACCAGACUGUAAAAAAUACUUUUUCACUAUUAUAAAUAAUGCUGUGACGAACAUCUUCAUAUCUGUGGUAUUUUCACAUACCAACUACUUGACUUCAUUUUCAGUUAUUUAUUCAACAUUAUACGUACUGGAUGCCUACUAU